This is a long non-coding RNA of Heterocephalus glaber (naked mole-rat), 1938 nucleotides long. NCBI's taxonomy places the organism in Eukaryota, Metazoa, Chordata, Mammalia, Rodentia, Bathyergidae. The record is from Ensembl.
GGCAGGCUCUGCUGGCACCUGCCCAGCCGGCUCUGAUCCUCUAAGCCAUGUCAGAGGUGGAAGUUUACAACAGACAUUCCCCUUCAGCCAUGCUGAAUGCCAGAGAAAAGACUGUCGUUAGCGACAGCAGCAGCCCACUGUGGAGCCAUCACGCGUCUACAGGCAAUGGAAGUAACAGUGGCCACCGAGACGUUUAACCCAGUCCAAGUCCCAGACGCCAGGGAGAGGGAAGGCCAAAAGCACCUUGGGGACGGGAAAAAAUGGAACCUCAUCUACACUGCAGGUCCCACUCCUGGAAAGUUUGGGUGUGUGGGGUGAUGCCAGGCAGACUAUUUAAAGCAGGGGUGAAAACAAAGGGACCUUGGAACAGGAUUUCCCGGCAUCUUUGGAAUGCGUCUCAGCAGGACCUGAGCAGGGCACCAACCAAAUAGCUUAGCUUCCUCAAGGUCAGGCCUACCGGGAGCAAUCAUCCUAAGUACCUGCUUUCCCAGACUGCACCACAGUCCCUCCUACCCGGAAAGAGGGCUGCAUGGCGUUUUAAUCUGACAAGCCCUGCUGUCUAGAGCCACUCCAGAUGAUUUAUCUGGCCAGCCUUUGCCACAGAGUAAGACUGGAGGCCCACGAGGGAAGAAGGAUCUCACGUACAAAGGAUUUAAGGGCAACUGUUCCAUGACCUUCAUUGAUCAGUUUAAAGUAUUACGCCAGUGCAACAAGUACUGUAAAAUGCUGGGGCUGAAAUCCCUUCAAAACAACAAUCAGAAAGCAAAGAAGUCAAGCCCUGGGAACAGCAAAGUUCAGACAAACUCUGUAACAGUGAAGAACCCAGAGCUUGGGGCCCCAACAGAAAAGAAAAGCUAGCAUCUCUCGCAAACUAGUGGCCACCAGCUAGCAGAACACAGGCUGUGAGUGAAAAUCUGCAGACGCCCAGAAGGUGGUAACACAGCCUGCGCGGAGUGUGUGGCAUUCCUUACUCCCAGCCGCCUGAGCCCCAAGAUGCUUCUGUCCUCAUCACCUGCCAACUAAUGAAAUGACCUCGGAAUGAGAUUUGUGACCAGACUUGUGGAGACACUGCGUCAGAUGUCAGUCUCAAAGACAGUCCCUUCUUUUUGCAUUGUUACCAAACUCACGUCUUCUGUCUGUCUGUGUAUUUUCACGUGGCUUUGUUGUCAAGGACUUGGUGCUGAGCAGGGUCUGUCCACAGCCCAAAUCCUUCCAGUCUCACUCCUCAGCUCAGGGUUCUAGGCCUAUCCAGCUUUGAUGUGAACACAAAUCGUCAAUGUCGAGUUUUGCACGAGUGUUGAGUAUGCUGCUAUUGCUGAAAGAGGCUCCCGAAAUGUAAGGCCACUUUCCACCAUUGUUCACAGUCACUUACAAUUUUCUGUUUCAUUAAAUUCAUAUUUAAACAAAAAGUGUAAGAUUCACUUAUCAUCAUACACAACAGUUCUUUGGAAUUUGUGCCGUAUUUCAUAUUCCUCCAGGAUUUAGUAAUUUCCUAAUAGGUUUACUGGAGCACAAAAUGUUUGCAACUAUGUUUCCGCUCAUUCCUACAUUAUAACUUGGGCUCCAUCACUUUCUGCUUUGCUCCUAAAUAUGGUCUCCUAAACCCAGGGCUGACCCUCAGUGGGUUACACCAGAGAUGGGGUGCCCAGCUUGCAGGGACCCUGCCCUCCUCUACUCCACAUGAGUUUCCUCAAAGGCCGAGCCUCCUUCCUUAGAGAUAGAUCCUUGUAGGAAAUUCUGGAAAAAGCAAAACUGAUGCAAGAGGACGUGUGUGCAGCCCCCUCUCAGAGGGGGCUGGUGGCCUUCAACAGGAGACUCUUGGCUUCUUUAGCUUUAGAAUAUUGUUCUCCUCAAGCCUGGGGUUUGAUUUUUAAAAGAAGGAGAACAUAGAUUGGAUUUUUGUUUUGAAAAGGGAUUUAAAGGAGAAAAUGCUUGUUG